GAGGCAGAAUUCGGGUCCAAGGUGGUUA
This 28-nucleotide non-coding RNA is filed under the name Rattus norvegicus (Norway rat). The record is from RNAcentral. Lineage: Eukaryota; Metazoa; Chordata; Mammalia; Rodentia; Muridae.